UACGGAGGGUGCAAGCGUUGUUCGGAAUUAUUGGGCGUAAAGCGCGUGUAGGCGGUUCGUUAAGUCUGAUGUGAAAGCCCUGGGCUUAACCUGGGAAGUGCAUUGGAAACUGGCGAACUUGAGUAUGGGAGAGGAAAGUGGAAUUCCGAGUGUAGGGGUGAAAUCCGUAGAUAUUCGGAGGAACACCAGUGGCGAAGGCGACUACCUGGACUGAUACUGACACUGAGGUGCGAAAGCGUGGGGAGCAAACAGGAUUAGAAA
Molecule: ribosomal RNA, 261 nt
Filed under: uncultured bacterium
Lineage: Bacteria
Description: partial 16S ribosomal RNA
Rfam family: Bacterial small subunit ribosomal RNA
Source: RNAcentral